This 1154-nucleotide long non-coding RNA is filed under the name Elaeis guineensis (African oil palm). Its description in RNAcentral is "long non-coding RNA (EGUI_LNC023293)". The record is from RNAcentral. Lineage: Eukaryota; Viridiplantae; Streptophyta; Magnoliopsida; Arecales; Arecaceae.
GAUAUGGUAGGUCGGGUUAGAUAAAAAUAAAUGCAUUAGCCCCAAAGCAAUCAUUUCAUAAUUGGUAAUAAAAACAAAAUAUGUUAUUUUGGUUUUUGGAGCUCAUGUUUUCUUUAUCUUUGCAUUGCCCUUGGUCCACAAGUAGUUAGAGAAUGUAUGUAGGUAUCAUAGAAAAGCAAAUAUGAGUAACUUUUUAUCAAAAUGAUUUAGUCGGUAACUUCGUUGGAAUGACUUCUAACAUUUGUAACAAAGAUCUCACUAUACAUAAACUCCCAAACCACCAUACAACAAAGAAAAAGCAGUUGGGCAAAACUAAUAAAUCUUGUGGCACAGCUAAAUACUGAAACUCAACUAUGAUAAUUUUUUGGAAAUGAUUUUAAUGAAAAAUUUCUGUUUGUAUAUAAUGGAUGUUGAAAUUAGAUCGAGAUUGAAAAAGAAUCCAUUUGCACUCAAAUCUUGCAGCCUAAAAUUGCUUCCAAAUUUAGAUCGCAUGUCCAGGUAUCCUAUCACGGUUGUCAAAUCGCAUGUCCAGGUAUCCUAUCACGGUUGUCUGCCUAAUUCUGAUCAAUCGAUUGUUUACAUUAAUGAGGCUCGCUUCUAGCCAACAACUACCAAGCAGCAAUUGGCCAUUUUUUUCAAAAGUCCAAAUCAACUGCUAAACGAACAACCCAAAAACCCGAGCACCCUAUCGCAUAAUCACAGAGCAUCAAAAGGAACUAAGGAAGAUCGAAAUGAGCAACCCAUAUCUGAGCAAAAGAUUGUGGGCUUUAGUGUCAAGGACCGUGCUGGUGAGGGAUGAGGGCUCAAAGAGACGAAGACCUCCACUAGGAUAAUCAUGUUCUUGGGGAAUGAGCGUAGGUGCAAUGAUGGAGGGGAUGAGCAGCCAUUCGAUGAUCGAUGUGACAAUGGCUGAAGGGAGGAGUGUGGAGCACUGUGGCUGAGGCAAAUGGGGCACAGACCAUCGAAUAAGGGACUCGAGUUGUCAAGUGACAGUGGUGGGGAGGGGAAGUGAAGAGUUUGUUUAGGGUUAUAUUGUAUAAGAUGAGGUUUGGGAUGGUUCUUACCAUUACCCGCACUUGGCAUGAAUACACUUCGAGUAUCAGAAUUAAAAUUCAUCCCCGGCCCCAACUUUAAAUUGGUUAGAUAAAACCCUC